UACGUAGGGUGCAAGCGUUGUCCGGAAUUAUUGGGCGUAAAGAGCUCGUAGGCGGUCUGUUGCGUCGGCUGUGAAAACCCGGGGCUCAACUCCGGGCCUGCAGCCGAUACGGGCAGACUAGAGUUCGGCAGGGGAGACUGGAAUUCCUGGUGUAGCGGUGAAAUGCGCAGAUAUCAGGAAGAACACCGGUGGCGAAGGCGGCUCUCUGGACCGAGACUGACGCUGAGGCGCGAAAGCGUGGGGAGCAAACAGG
Molecule: ribosomal RNA, 253 nt
Filed under: uncultured bacterium
Lineage: Bacteria
Description: partial 16S ribosomal RNA
Rfam family: Bacterial small subunit ribosomal RNA
Source: RNAcentral